CGUUCAUCGCGAUCGUCGGAGCUUGUGGUAGCGCUAAGCUAAAGCUAAAGCUUGCUGGUAUCGACGGAGCGUGUUGCUGUAAUUGUGUGCGUCUUUCCCACAAAUAUGUGAUAGACGGGAGGGGGGGAGUCUGCCUGCGGGAUCAAUCUUGAUGUUGUUCAUUUGUAGUUUUUAUUUCCUUGUCAUGAAGCUGCAAGAUAAAAAGACAAAUGUCAUGUUGAAAUUGUAAUCCCACCCGGGCGCUCCAAUUUAAAACUUGAAUCGUGAAAACAAAACAAGAAACAAUCACUUUGACUCGUGUCACGUUUUAUUCCACCGUCUUACGUGUACACUGACAGUAAAGUGUACACCGGUCAGUAAACAAUAAAUACAAAUAAACCCGCGACGCCGCAUACAACCUCCAAUUGAGGUGUAAUACUUUGCCAACUGUGAUUCAAGCCUAUAUUAAGAGUUGCCACUCAGGAGCUGAACAAAGUGCUAAGACUGUUUGAAAAUAAAAUGCUUACAACCACUGUAAAAAAAGUUGCUCCAAGCCCUUGUUGAAUCACAUUUACAAAGAUUUGUUUUAAAACACCCGAGCUGAAACAUGCAAACAGCACA
Long non-coding RNA from Syngnathus typhle (broad-nosed pipefish), 600 nucleotides. RefSeq lists it as uncharacterized. Lineage: Eukaryota; Metazoa; Chordata; Actinopteri; Syngnathiformes; Syngnathidae. The transcript is spliced from 2 exons. The record is from RefSeq and is a predicted model, not a curated record.